RNAcentral lists this ribosomal RNA (448 nucleotides) under uncultured bacterium. Its description in RNAcentral is "bacterial SSU rRNA". It matches the Rfam family "Bacterial small subunit ribosomal RNA", at positions 330 to 792 of the family's 1533-position model. The record is from RNAcentral.
ACCAGACUCCUACGGGAGGCAGCAGUGGGGGAUAUUGGACAAUGGGGGAAACCCUGAUCCAGCGACGCCGCGUGAGUGAAGAAGUAUUUCGGUAUGUAAAGCUCUGUCAGCAGGGAAGAAAGAAAUGACGGUACCUGACCAAGAAGCCCCGGCUAACUACGUGCCAGCAGCCGCGGUAAUACGUAGGGGGCAAGCGUUAUCCGGAUUUACUGGGUGUAAAGGGAGCGUAGACGGCGAAGAAAGUCUGAAGUGAAAGCCCGCGGCUCAACCGCGGAAUGGCUUUGGAAACUUUUUUGCUGGAGUACCGGAGAGGUAAGCGGAAUUCCUAGUGUAGCGGUGAAAUGCGUAGAUAUUAGGAGGAACACCAGUGGCGAAGGCGGCUUACUGGACGGUAACUGACGUUGAGGCUCGAAAGCGUGGGAAGCAAACAGGAUUAGAUACCCCUGUA